Molecule: ribosomal RNA, 305 nt
Filed under: uncultured bacterium
Lineage: Bacteria
Description: bacterial SSU rRNA
Rfam family: Bacterial small subunit ribosomal RNA
Source: RNAcentral
UCCUACGGGGGGCAGCAGUGGGGGAUAUUGGACAAUGGGGGAAACCCUGAUCCAGCGAUGCCGCGUGAGGGAAGAAGGUUUUCGGAUUGUAAACCUCUGUGGAGGGGGACGAUAAUGACGGUACCCCUUUAGGAAGCCACGGCUAACUACGUGCCAGCAGCCGCGGUAAUACGUAGGUGGCGAGCGUUGUCCGGAAUUACUGGGUGUAAAGGGAGUGUAGGCGGGAAAGCAAGUCAGAAGUGAAAGCUAUGGGCUUAACCCCCAAACUGCUUUUGGAACUGCGUGUCUUGAGUGAUGGAGAGGCG